Long non-coding RNA from Fukomys damarensis (Damara mole-rat), 265 nucleotides. RefSeq lists it as uncharacterized. The record is from RefSeq and is a predicted model, not a curated record. NCBI's taxonomy places the organism in Eukaryota, Metazoa, Chordata, Mammalia, Rodentia, Bathyergidae. The transcript has 3 exons.
CCAACCCUUCCUCGGUUCCUCCUUCCUGCGAUCCACCAGGGCCUGCACCUAUGCCCAACAGGCCAGAAUGAUGGGAAGGGCCGUGUCCUUCCUCCUCGACUCCUGGCUAGAGAUGCACGUCCAGGAUGGACCUCCCAGCCCACUGGCUCCACUGCAGCAUCCCCAAGCCCGCUGAAGAAGAGAGGCCAGCUGCGGCUCAAACUCGAGUACCACCUGCAGAGCCGGUGCCGCCUCUACCUUCAGCCUCCUCACCAGCUGCAGCACU